AACGAGACCUUAACCUGCACAAAAGACAGGAUGGCUUAGGCAGUACGCUGGCUUCUUAGAGGGACUAUCGGCUCAAGCCGAUGGAAGUUUGAGGCAAUAACAGGUCUGUGAUGCCCUUAGAUGUUCUGGGCCGCACGCGCGCUACACUGACGGAGCCAGCGAGUACUCCCUUGGCCGAAAGGCCUGGGUAAUCUUGUGAAACUC
Molecule: ribosomal RNA, 204 nt
Filed under: Clonostachys sp.
Lineage: Eukaryota; Fungi; Ascomycota; Sordariomycetes; Hypocreales; Bionectriaceae
Description: partial small subunit ribosomal RNA
Rfam family: Eukaryotic small subunit ribosomal RNA
Source: RNAcentral